This 253-nucleotide ribosomal RNA is filed under the name uncultured bacterium. Its description in RNAcentral is "partial 16S ribosomal RNA". It matches the Rfam family "Bacterial small subunit ribosomal RNA", at positions 524 to 776 of the family's 1533-position model. The record is from RNAcentral.
UACGUAGGGCGCAAGCGUUAUCCGGAAUUAUUGGGCGUAAAGAGCUCGUAGGCGGCUCGUCGCGUCGACCGUGAAAACCCGCGGCUUAACUGCGGGCUUGCGGUUGAUACGGGCGGGCUAGAGUUCGGUAGGGGAGACUGGAAUUCCUGGUGUAGCGGUGAAAUGCGCAGAUAUCAGGAGGAACACCGGUGGCGAAGGCGGGUCUCUGGGCCGAUACUGACGCUGAGGAGCGAAAGUGUGGGGAGCGAACAGG